AUACGUAGGUGACAAGCGUUAUCCGGAUUUACUGGGCGUAAAGGGCGUGUAGGCGGUCUUGCAAGUCAGAAGUGAAAUUCCUGAGCUCAACUCGGGCGCUGCUUCUGAAACUGCAGGACUUGAGUGCUGGAGGGGAUAGCGGAAUUCCUAGUGGAGCGGUAAAAUGCGCAGAUAUUAGGAAGAACACCGGUGGCGAAGGCGGCUAUCUGGACAGUACCUGACGCUGAGGCGCGAAAGCGUGGGGAGCAAACAGGAUUAGAUACCCUGGUAGUCCACGCUGUAAACGAUGAAUACUAGGUGUAGGGGGUAUCGACUCCCUCUGUGCCGCAGUUAACACAAUAAGUAUUCCGCCUGGGGAGUACGGCCGCAAGGUUGAAACUCAAAUGAAUUGACGGGG
RNAcentral lists this ribosomal RNA (397 nucleotides) under uncultured bacterium. Its description in RNAcentral is "partial 16S ribosomal RNA". It matches the Rfam family "Bacterial small subunit ribosomal RNA", at positions 523 to 918 of the family's 1533-position model. The record is from RNAcentral.